This 1949-nucleotide ribosomal RNA is filed under the name human gut metagenome. Its description in RNAcentral is "bacterial LSU rRNA". It matches the Rfam family "Bacterial large subunit ribosomal RNA", at positions 3 to 1991 of the family's 2925-position model. The record is from RNAcentral.
UUAAGCUACAAAGAGCGUAGGGAGAAUGCCUAGGUACCAAGAGCCGAAGAAGGACGUGAUAAGCUGCGAAAAGCCACGGGGAGGAGCAAAUAUCCAUCGAGCCGUGGGUGUCCGAAUGAGGGAACUCAUACAGUAAAAAAAGACUGUAUAUCCAUACAUGAGUAAAGUAGUGUAUAGGAAGGGAACGUGGGGAACUGAAACAUCUUAGUACCCAUAGGAAAAGAAAGUAAUAACGAUUCCUGAAGUAGUGGCGAGCGAAACAGGAAGAGCCCAAACCAUAGAUAGUAAUAUUUGUGGGGUUCGGAUUAUCAAUAAAGCCAAGAAUGAUGUUAGUAGAAUUACCAGGGAAGGUAAACCAAAGAAGGUGAAAGUCCUGUAUAUGAAAACAGAGUGAAGGCGAGAUAAAUCCAGAGUAGUGCGAGACACGAGAAAUCUCGUAUGAAAGAGCGGAGACCAUUCCGUAAGGCUAAAUACUACUUGGUAACCGAUAGAGAACAAGUACCGUGAGGGAAAGGUGAAAAGGACCCCGGGAGGGGAGUGAAAGAGAACCUGAAACCCUAUGUUUACAAGCAGAUAGAGCGAUUUAAGGCGCGAUAUCGUACUUUUUGUAGAACGGUCCAGCGAGUUAUUGUAUAUGGCGAGGUUAAGUUCUGAAUAAGGAAUGGAGCCGAAGAGAAAUCGAGUCUGAAUAGGGCGAUAUAAGUCAUAUAUAAUAGACCCGAAACCGGGUGACCUAUCCAUGGUCAGGAUGAAGCUGAAGUAAAAUUCAGUGGAGGUCCGAACUGAUUGUCGUUAAAAAGGCACCGGAUGAACUGUGGAUAGCGGAGAAAUUCCAAUCGAACUCGGAGAUAGCUGGUUCUCCUCGAAAUAGCUUUAGGGCUAGCCUUGAGGUAAAAGAAUUAUGGGGGUAGAGCACUGAAUGAGGUAGGGGCCAAACCAGGUUACUGAACUCUAUCAAACUGCGAAUACCAUAAUUAGAAUACUCAGGAGUCAGACUGCGGGAGCUAAGUUCCGUGGUCAAAAGGGAAAGAGCCCAGACCGACAAUUAAGGUCCCAAAGAUAUAGUUAAGUGGAAAACGAUGUGAAUUUGCAUAAACAACCAGGAUGUUGGCUCAGAAGCAGCCACUCAUUCAAAGAGUGCGUAACAGCUCACUGGUCGAGUGAAUUUGCGCGGAAAAUUACCGGGGCUAAACUAUACACCGAAAUUUCGGAUUUACGUAUGAAAAUAUGUAAGUGGUAGAGGAGCAUUCUGUAGUAGGACGAAGUCAAAGCGAAAGCAUUGGUGGACGAGGCAGAAGAGAGAAUGCUGGAAUAAGUAGCGAGAGCAAGGUGAGAAUCCUUGCCGUCGAAAGUCUAAGGUUUCCUGGGGAAGGUUCGUCCGCCCAGGGUAAGUCGGGGCCUAAGGAGAGGCCGAAAGGCGUAUCUGAUGGAUAGCAGGUGGAGAUUCCUGCACUAUAGCUAGUUUUAAAAGAUGCAAGGGACGCAGUAGAGGAAGAUAACCAAGGAAGAGGAAAGACUUGGUCCGCAAGGGAUAGUGAAAAUUAAUAGUAACGAAAUAUCAAGAAUCACACUGACGAGAAAAGCUUGUAGAUAUUAACUAGAAAUACCCGUACCGCAAACCGACACAGGUAGAUGAGGAGAGGAUCCUAAGACGAGCGGGAGAAGCAUUGUUAAGGAACUCGGCAAAAUAACCCCGUAACUUCGGGAGAAGGGGAACCUAAGUAAAAUUAGGUCGCAGAGAAAAGGCCCAAGCAACUGUUUAACAAAAACACAGGUUUCUGCAAAAUCGAAAGAUGAAGUAUAGGAGCUGACGCCUGCCCAGUGCUGGAAGGUUAAGGGAAAGAGUUAGAUGUAAAUCGAAGCUUAGAACUAAAGCCCCAGUGAACGGCGGCCGUAACUAUAACGGUCCUAAGGUAGCGAAAUUCCUUGUCAGGUAAGUUCUGACCCGC